UAAGAAGCAAAACAAGGGCAUACGGGGGAUGCCUAGGCUCUCAGAGGCUACGAAGGACGUGGUAAGCUGCGAAAAGCUACGGGGAGUUGCAAACAAGCGUUGAUCCGUAGAUGUCCGAAUGGGGAAACCUGGCUGGUUGAAGACCAGUCGACACGCAAACCCAGGGAACUGAAACAUCUAAGUACCUGGAGGAAAAGAAAACGAAGUUGAUUCCGUAAGUAGUGGCGAGCGAAAGCGGACAAGCCCAUUAAGCUAGUUUUAGAGUAGUGGAAUGGUCCUGGGAAGACCAACCAAAGGGGGUGAUAGUCCCGUACACGAAAGUCUAAGAUUAGUGAAUUGAGUAGGGCGGGACCGGAGAAAUCCUGCCUGAAUAUGCCGGCACCAUCCGGUAAGGCUAAAUACUCCUGAGAGACCGAUAGUGAACCAGUACCGUGAGGGAAAGGUGAAAAGAACCGCAAGCAGCGGGAGUGAAAAGACCCUGAAACCGUAUGUCUACAAGCGGUCGGAGCGCAAGCGACGGCGUGCCUUUUGCAUAAUGAUCCUACGAGUUAUUCCUUACUAGCGAGUUUAAGUGCUUCAGGCACGGAGGCGUAGCGAAAGCGAGUCUGAAUAGGGCGUUUAGCUAGUAGGGAUAGACGCGAAACCGAGUGAUCUACCCAUGGGCAGGUUGAAGGUGAGAUAGUCUCUCACUGGAGGACCGAACCGGUAAACGUUGAAAAGUUUUCGGAUGACCUGUGGGUAGGGGUGAAAGGCUAAUCAAACUCGGAGAUAGCUCGUACUCCCCGAAAUGCAUUUAGGUGCAGCGUUGGGAAGAGUAUUGCGGAGGUAGAGCUACCAAUAGGGCUAGGGGGCUUCACCGCCUACCAACCCCUGAUGAACUCCGAAUGCCGUAAUAUUGCACCAGCAGUGAGGCUACGGGUGCGAAGGUCCGUGGCCAAGAGGGGAACAACCCAGACCAUCAGCUAAGGUCCCUAAAUUUGAGCUAAGUUGGAUAAACGAGGUGGGGAUGCUAUGACAGCUAGGAUGUUUGCUUGGAAGCAGCAAUUCAUUUAAAGAGUGCGUAACAGCUCACUAGUCGAGCGUUCCUGCGCGGAAAAUGAACGGGCAUCAAGCUCAAUACCGAAGCUAUGGACUCUACGGAGUGGUAGGGGAGCAUUCUAGUUGCGGCGAAGGUGUACUGCGAGGUAUGCUGGAGCGGCUAGAAAAGAAAAUGUAGGAAUGAGUAACGAAAAAAUGGGUGAGAUACCCAUUCGCCGUAAGACUAAGGGUUCCUCGUUCGAUGUUAAUCAGAACAGGGUUAGUCGGGUCCUAAGGAGCAGCCGAGAGGCGAAUCUGAUGGCAAUCUGGUAAAAAUUCCAGAACUUGCAUACACUAAAAAGGGGACGGGGUUGAGGAGAUUGCACGUACUGACGGAAUAGUGCGUUGAGCUGAAGCCUCUGGCGGAAGCGAGCGAUUGAAUGAGCCUCCAAGAAAAGCCGAAGUAUGCAACCCGUACCGUAAACCGACACAGGUAGUCGAGGAGAGUAUCCUAAGGCGCUCGAGUGAACCACGGUUAAGGAACUAGGCAAAUUAGCCCCGUAACUUCGGGAGAAGGGGCGCCUCGCGAGAGGCCGCAGUGAAGAGGUCCAGGCGACUGUUUAGCAAAAACACAGGACUCUGCCAAAUCGAAAGAUGAAGUAUAGGGUCUGACACCUGCCCGGUGCCGGAAGGUUAAGGAAGGGGCUUAGGGGCAACUCGAAGGUCUUGACUGAAGCCCCGGUAAACGGCGGCCGUAACUAUAACGGUCCUAAGGUAGCGAAAUUCCUUGUCGGGUAAGUUCCGACCUGCACGAAUGGUGUAACGAUCUGGACACUGUCUCAACCGUGAGCUCGGUGAAAUUGAAGUAUCGGUGAAGAUGCCGGUUACCCGCAAUGGGACGAAAAGACCCCGUGAACCUUUACUACAACUUCACGUUGGGUUUGAGCAUAAGAUGUGUAGGAUAGGUGGGAGGCUAUGAAGGGCAGACGCUAGUUUGUUUGGAGCCGUCCUUGAAAUACCACCCUUCUUAUGCUUAGAUUCUAACCGCAGGGACAGCGUGUGGUGGGUAGUUUGACUGGGGUGGUCGCCUCCAAAAGAGUAACGGAGGCUCGCAAAGGUACCCUCAGCAUGGUUGGUAAUCAUGCGCAGAGCGUAUGAGUAUAAGGGUGCUUGACUGAGAGACGGACGCGUCGAACAGGGACGAAAGUCGGCUCAAGUGAUCCGGUGGUUCCGCAUGGAAGGGCCAUCGCUCAAAGGAUAAAAGGUACUCCGGGGAUAACAGGCUGAUCUCCCCCAAGAGCUCACAUCGACGGGGAGGUUUGGCACCUCGAUGUCGGCUCGUCACAUCCUGGGGCUGGAGAAGGUCCCAAGGGUUGGGCUGUUCGCCCAUUAAAGUGGCACGCGAGCUGGGUUCAGAACGUCGCAAGACAGUUCGGUCUCUAUCUAUUGCGGGCGUUGGAAUAUUGAGGAGAUCUGAUUCCAGUACGAGAGGACCGGAUUGGACGAACCGCUAGUGUACCAGUUGUACUGCCAAGUGCACCGCUGGGUAGCUAUGUUCGGAACGGAUAAGCACUGAAAGCAUCUAAGUGCGAAGUCGACUCCAAGAUGAGUAUUCCUUAUUAGGGUCGUGGAAGAUUACCACGUUGAUAGGCUAUAGGUCGAAGUGUGGCAACAUGCGUAGCCGAGUAGUACUAAUUACCCGAAAGCUUCUUACG
Non-coding RNA from Haliscomenobacter hydrossis DSM 1100, 2732 nucleotides. The record is from Rfam. NCBI's taxonomy places the organism in Bacteria, Pseudomonadati, Bacteroidota, Saprospiria, Saprospirales, Haliscomenobacteraceae.